RNAcentral lists this ribosomal RNA (301 nucleotides) under uncultured bacterium. RNAcentral describes it as "partial 16S ribosomal RNA". It matches the Rfam family "Bacterial small subunit ribosomal RNA", at positions 509 to 808 of the family's 1533-position model. The record is from RNAcentral.
CAGUAGCCGCGGUAAUACAGAGGGUGCAAGCGUUAAUCGGAAUUACUGGGCGUAAAGCGCGCGUAGGUGGUUUGUUAAGUUGGAUGUGAAAGCCCCGGACUCAACCUGGGAACUGCAUCCAAAACUGGCAAGCUAGAGUACGGUAGAGGGUGGUGGAAUUUCCUGUGUAGCGGUGAAAUGCGUAGAUAUAGGAAGGAACACCAGUGGCGAAGGCGACCACCUGGACUGAUACUGACACUGAGGUGCGAAAGCGUGGGGAGCAAACAGGAUUAGAUACCCCGUAGUCCCUGUCUCUUAUACA